Long non-coding RNA from Homo sapiens (human), 506 nucleotides. Ensembl annotates it as long intergenic non-protein coding RNA 2848. The record is from Ensembl. Lineage: Eukaryota; Metazoa; Chordata; Mammalia; Primates; Hominidae.
AGCGUUACUAUGGCAACCCUGACAGGUUUGUGAGCAGCCCCCGGUCCCCUGCCGCUCCGUGAGAAAUCAAACUUCAGGCACUGACGAAGCAUGAAGCCAGCAUCUUAGGAAGAGGUAGUGACAUAAUUACAAGAGAAAUUAAUGUUAUGACUGGAUGAAGACAAUUGUGAAGAAACUGCACUUUGAGGUUGUCUAUCUCUGUAUUCUGAUGGAAAAGCGUGGAGUUUAGAAGCACUGCUCACUCCUUCAGUUUCUAACAAGUUUGAGACUAUGGUUAGGUGGUGAGGAAGGCAGGCUCAGCACCCAAGCCUUGGGGAGACGCAGAAAGGGCCCAUCCCAGGCACUCAGGUGGAGUAAAACUGAUGCUCCAGAAAGAUGCCCAGGGAGAUUCUGUCCUGCUGCGUCCGCACUGUACAGAACUGACGCUGUGCCUACGCCCGUUUCAGAAGCGUGGAGUACUUAAGAGUUAAUCUAAAAAAGCAAAUAUAAAAAUGGAUUCAAAAAAA